UUGGAGGGCAAGUCUGGUGCCAGCAGCCGCGGUAAUUCCAGCUCCAAUAGCGUAUAUUAAAGUUGUUGCAGUUAAAAAGCUCGUAGUUGAAUUUCGGGGUUCUACCGUUGGUCGGGCUAUUGUCUGUACUGGCGUGUAGAAUUUCUACCUUCUGGGGAACUAUCAUGUUAUUAAUUUAGCGUGGUAGGAAACCAGGACCUUUACCUUGAAAAAAUUAGAGUGUUCAAAGCAGGCUUAUGUCUGAAUACAUUAGCAUGGAAUAAUAAAAUAGGACGGUGGUCCUGUUUUGUUGGUUUCUGAAUCACCGUAAUGAUUAAUAGGGAUAGUUGGGGGCAUUAGUAUUCAAUUGUCAGAGGUGAAAUUCUUGGAUUUAUUGAAGACUAACUACUGCGAAAGCAUUUGCCAAGGAUGUUUUCAUUAAUCAAGAACGAAAGUUAGGGGAUCGAAGACGAUCAGAUACCGUCGUAGUCUUAACCAUAAACUAUGCCGACUAGGGAUCGGACAAUGUUAACUUUUCUUGACUCGUUCGGCGCCUUACGGGAAA
Molecule: ribosomal RNA, 544 nt
Filed under: uncultured Glomeromycotina
Lineage: Eukaryota; Fungi; Glomeromycota
Description: SSU rRNA
Rfam family: Eukaryotic small subunit ribosomal RNA
Source: RNAcentral